AACGAACGCUGGCGGCAUGCCUAACACAUGCAAGUCGAACGAGACCUUCGGGUCUAUUUGCGCUCGUGUGCGUACCGCGUGGGAACCUGCCCUUAGGUUCGGAAUAACUCCCCGAAAGGGGUGCUAAUACCGGAUAAUGUCUUCGCACCAAAGAUUUAUCGCCUUUGGAUGGGCCCGCGUUGGAUUCGCUAGUUGGUAGGGUAAAAGCCUACCAAGGCGACGAUCCAUAGCUGGUCUGAGAGGAUGAUCAGCCACACUGGAACUGAGACACGGCCCAGACUCCGACGGGAGGCAGCAGUGGGGAAUAUUGGACAAGGGGCGAAGGCCUGAUCAAGCAAUGCCGCGUGAGUGAUGAAGGCCGUAGGGUAGUAAAGCUGUUUUACACGGGAUGAGAAUGACAGUACCGGGAGAAUAAGCUCCGGCUAACUCCGUG
RNAcentral lists this ribosomal RNA (433 nucleotides) under uncultured bacterium. RNAcentral's name for it is "partial 16S ribosomal RNA". It matches the Rfam family "Bacterial small subunit ribosomal RNA", at positions 29 to 507 of the family's 1533-position model. The record is from RNAcentral.